Molecule: ribosomal RNA, 399 nt
Filed under: uncultured bacterium
Lineage: Bacteria
Description: bacterial SSU rRNA
Rfam family: Bacterial small subunit ribosomal RNA
Source: RNAcentral
AUUUUCCGCAAUGGGCGAAAGCCUGACGGAGCAAUGCCGCGUGGAGGUGGAAGGCCCACGGGUCGUCAACUUCUUUUCUCGGAGAAGAACCAAUGACGGUAUCUGAGGAAUAAGCAUCGGCUAACUCUGUGCCAACAGCCGCGGUAAGACAGAGGAUGCAAGCGUUAUCCGGAAUGAUUGGGCGUAAAGCGUCUGUAGGUGGCUUUUCAAGUCCGCUGUCAAAGCCCAGGGCUCAACCCUGGACAGGCGGUGGAAACUACCAAGCUGGAGUACGGUAGGGGAAGAGGGAAUUUCCGGUGUAGCGGUGAAAUGCAUUGAGAUCGGAAAGAACACCAACGGCGAAAGCACUCUGCUGGGCCGACACUGACACUGAGAGACGAAAGCUAGGGGAGCAAAUGG